This 397-nucleotide ribosomal RNA is filed under the name uncultured bacterium. RNAcentral describes it as "bacterial SSU rRNA". It matches the Rfam family "Bacterial small subunit ribosomal RNA", at positions 30 to 430 of the family's 1533-position model. The record is from RNAcentral.
AUUGAACGCUGGCGGCAUGCCUUACACAUGCAAGUCGAACGGCAGCACGGGGGCAAUCCUGGUGGCGAGUGGCGAACGGGUGAGUAAUAUAUCGGAACGUGCCCAGUCGUGGGGGAUAACGUAGCGAAAGCUACGCUAAUACCGCAUACGAUCUAUGGAUGAAAGGCGGGGGAUCGCAAGACCUCGCGCGAUUGGAGCGGCCGAUAUCAGAUUAGGUAGUUGGUGGGUAAAGGCCUACCAAGCCUUCGAUCUGUAGCUGGUCUGAGAGGACGACCAGCACACUGGAACUGAGACACGGUCCAGACUCCUACGGGAGGCAGCAGUGGGGAAUUUUGGACAAUGGCGCAAGCCUGAUCCAGCAAUGCCGCGUGCAGGAUGAAGGCCUUCGGUUGUAAAC